This 72-nucleotide transfer RNA is filed under the name Marmota monax (woodchuck). RNAcentral describes it as "tRNA.Ala". The record is from RNAcentral. Lineage: Eukaryota; Metazoa; Chordata; Mammalia; Rodentia; Sciuridae.
GGGGAUGUGGCUCAAGUGGUAGCAUGCUCACCUGGCAUGUGAGGGGUGCUGGGUUCCAUCCUCAGCACCACA